RNAcentral lists this transfer RNA (72 nucleotides) under Ovis aries (sheep). It matches the Rfam family "tRNA". Rfam says of the family: Transfer RNA (tRNA) molecules are approximately 80 nucleotides in length. Their secondary structure includes four short double-helical elements and three loops (D, anti-codon, and T loops). Further hydrogen bonds mediate the characteristic L-shaped molecular structure. tRNAs have two regions of fundamental functional importance: the anti-codon, which is responsible for specific mRNA codon recognition, and the 3' end, to which the tRNAs corresponding amino acid is attached (by aminoacyl-tRNA synthetases). tRNAs cope with the degeneracy of the genetic code in two manners: having more than one tRNA (with a specific anti-codon) for a particular amino acid; and 'wobble' base-pairing, i.e. permitting non-standard base-pairing at the 3rd anti-codon position. The record is from Rfam by way of RNAcentral. Lineage: Eukaryota; Metazoa; Chordata; Mammalia; Artiodactyla; Bovidae.
UCCCUGGUGGCUCAGGUGUUAAAGCGUCUGCUUGGAAUGCAGGAGACCCAGGUUUGAUCCCUGGGUUGGGAA